This 502-nucleotide ribosomal RNA is filed under the name uncultured bacterium. RNAcentral's name for it is "bacterial SSU rRNA". It matches the Rfam family "Bacterial small subunit ribosomal RNA", at positions 38 to 524 of the family's 1533-position model. The record is from RNAcentral.
CGGCGGCGUGCCUAUAAUGCGAGUAGAAGCUGACCUCUGGUGCUUGCACUAGAGUGAUGAGUUGCGAACGGGUGAGUAACGCGUAGGUAACCUACCUUUAAGCGGGGGAUAACUAUUGGAAACGAUAGCUAAUACCGCAUAACAACUUUUAACACAUGUUAGGAGUUUGAAAGGGGCAACUGCCUCACUUAGAGAUGGACCUGCGUUGUAUUAGCUAGUUGGUAGGGUAAAGGCCUACCAAGGCGACGAUACAUAGCCGACCUGAGAGGGUGAUCGGCCACACUGGGACUGAGACACGGCCCAGACUCCUACGGGAGGCAGCAGUAGGGAAUCUUCGGCAAUGGGGGCAACCCUGACCGAGCAACGCCGCGUGAGUGAAGAAGGUUUUAGGAUCGUAAAGCUCUGUUGUAAGAGAAGAAUGUUGUGUAGAGUGGAAAGUUACACAAGUGACGGUAUCUUACCAGAAAGGGACGGCUAACUACGUGCCAGCAGCCGCGGUAAU